CACGGGGGUCGGAUUGCUUCGCGAAUUUGGAAGAAGGGUCAAGAGCUGGAUUUGACCUUUGCUCUGAGCUUCCUGGUAACCCGGACGUUCCGUAAACCCCGAGGCAGAGCUGAAAGCGCUGUUCAGAUCCCCGUUCGGAUUUCAUUCUUUCAGCGUUUGCCUUUUGAACGCCCUUUUCCGAUAGGAAGUUUCGCCUCUGUGGAUUCCUGAAGGACUGUUGGGAAUUGGGACGGGCGUAGGGUGAGGAAUGAUACAGCUACGUUCUGGAAACGGAAAGAUCACUGCUUACCAAGCGAAGAAUGGAUUGAAAGGACAAAGUUAGAGGCAAGAAGAACAAUGGAGAAACUCAUAUCCAGGCAAGAGAUGGUGAUCUGUCCUAGGGAAGGAGUGCAGAUAGAAAGAAAUUGAACCUAUUAAAUGGGUAAGGUGGCCUAGAGGAGGGAUACAUGCAUAGGAGGGAUGGGAGGAGGAAAAGAAGCUGUUGAGAGAAUACUGAGAAGGGCCAAACGGAAGGAAAAGAGGAUGAUCAGGAAAGAAGUAUCAAGGAAACUGGUAAAAAUGUUAAAUAUAACCGAGAGAUCAGGUAAGAUGUACACUAAAAUGUGUCCAUUAGAUUUUGCAACAAGGAGAACAUUUAAUAGUUUGGAUAAAACUGUGUCAUGGAUGUGGUGGUAGAAACCAGAUUGAAUUGGAAAAGCACAAUGUAUAAAGAAUUUUUUUCAUAGUUCUUGACUGUAAGAAGGAGGCUAACAGGAUGUUGCAUAGGGAGAAUUCCAAAGAAAAAGUUUUAGGUACCUGUAAGAUACCUAGAUAGAUAUGUCCUACUGACAGUUACUGUACAGAUCUAAAACUUAGUAGAAAAAUACAUUAAGUGGGAGAAAAAGCAAGUGCAGAAAAAAUUAACUCUGAAAAGUGGGCCUGGGAGGGAUGACUUAUACUUUUUAUUUUACACCAUAUUAUUGUUUAAAUUUCUUUUACUCUGUACAUAUAUUACUUUCCUUUUUCUUUGCUUUUUUUCUUUUUUUUUGAGACAGUCUCACUUUGUCACCUUCAGUAAAGUGUGACAGGGUAGAGUGCCCUGAUGUCACAUACAUACUUUCAUAGAAAACAUUUUGUGUGUGUGUAUCGCUCUGGGUAGGGUAACAUGACAUCACAGCUCACAGCAGCCUCAAACUCUUGGGCUUAAGCGAUUCACUUGCCUCAGCCUCCCAAGUAGCUGGGACUACAGGCGCUUGCCACAAUGCCCGGCUAUUUUCAUUGUUGUUGCAGUUGUCAUUGUUUAGCUGGCCCAGGCCGGUUUUGAACCCACACCCUUGGUGCAUGUGGCAGGCGCCCUAUCCACUGAUCUAUGGGUGCUGCCAUAGAAAACAUUCUUAAAACUGCUGUAAUGUGUAGGACAGAAAUUCUGAAGCAUCAACAUAUCUGUGAUAGUUGAAGCCAUAGAUUUGGAUUUGCUCCCCACAGAACAGAGGGCUCAGAAGAGUGCUCUGGGGAAUUCCAACAUUUAAGGCACAAGUGGAAGAGAAACCCUUGGAGAAUCUUUGAAAGGGACAAUGAGGCUCGGUGCCCAUAGCUCAGUGAGUAACGGUGCCAACCACAUACACCGAGGCUGGCGGGUUCGAGCCUAGCCCUGGCCUGCUAAACAACAAUGACAGCUGUAACCAAAAAAUAGCCAGGCGCUGUAGCAGGCACCCAUAGUCCCAGCUACUUAUUUGGGAGGCUGAGGUAAGAGAAUCACUUAAGCCCAAGAGUUUGAGGUUGCUGUGAGCUGUGACACCAUGGCACUCUACUGAGGGUGACAGUGAGCCUCUGUCUCGAAAAAAGGGGGGGGACAAUGAGUAAGAAUAAAAACUAGGAGAGAAAACAGAACAAAAAAACUGGGACAGGAUUUGUCACAGAAUCAGAAAGAAAGGAGAAUAUUUCAAGGGAGUGAAAGUUGUCAAUACUGUCAGAUAUCCCCCUGAGGGGCAGCUAAUGGGAAAGGUGCUUUUAGCUCCAGGCUCUUGGAAGCUUGGCACAAGAGUCAAAUCCAGAUUGUGAACCUUCCCCGUAAGUGUCAAUAGACAAUCCAGUCUCCGUGCUAUUGUUUUUAUACUUUAGACACCUAGCAGUCUUGACACUGUGGUUCCAGUCUGUCAGUGGGACUUGAAGUCCAUACCAGCUGGCUCUCGCAUCACCAAUCUUACCACACACAAGAACACUACUCUCUCCCAGUCCUUACUAAGACCCUGAAGGCGCUAUCGAGAAAACUUAAUUUUCUAGAAACAGUGAUGUUAAGGAAUUGAAAGUAAGAGUAAAAGUUGAGGUCAAAGAACUACUUUGCCAGCCUGAGCCAGAGUGAGACCCCCUAAAAACUAGUGAGAUCUCUAAAAACUAGGUGGACGUUGUGGAGGGCACCUGUAAUGUCAGCUACUUGGGAGGCUGAGGCAAGAGGAUCACUUGAACCCUAAAGUUUGAGGUUGCUGUGAGUUAAGAUGCCACGACACUCUACUAAGGUGACAUAGUGAGACUGUCUCCCCCCAAAAAUUGUACAGCUGGGCGCCUGUAGCUCAGCGGCUAGUGCACCAGCCACAUACACCAGAACUGGUGGGUUUGAAUCCAGCCUGGGCCUGCCAAACAACAAUGACAAUACAACCAAAAAAUAGCUGGGUGUUGUGGGGACGCCUGUAGUCCCAGCUACUUGGGAGGCUGAGGCAAGAGAAUCGCUUAAACCCAAGAGUUAGAGGGUGCUGUGAGCUGUGACACCGGGGCACUCUGCCCAGGGCAACAUAGUGAGACUGUCUCUCAAAAAAAAAAAUUCUAUUUUGUGGGUUUUCCUAAAAUCUCCGCAGGAUGAUAGUAAGACCACAGAGACUAUUUGAGAAGUACUGAAGACCUCAGUAAGUAUGAAGGCUGAAGGGCAGUGGAACCAGAGAGCAUAAGCUUCAAAAGGGGAAGCAUCUUUGGAAGAGCACAGAAACACAAUAGCCUGGAAGUUAGCAUUGAGAACCUAAAGAGAAGGUUUAUGUCUUGUUAUCCCUUUCUGCAACAGUGGGAGAAUGAACACCUCUACUUUAGAAGAUUGAAAGGAAGCGGUAUUGGUCAGAAAAAGCCAAAGUUAACCCACCUCUGACAAUUUUUGGCUUCUGUAUCCCCUGAAACACUUGUUCCAUUAUCAACAACCUCCUUUGUAUCCUCAUUUUCUUCACAGAUUGCUCCUCAGUUUUUUCUAGAGGAAUAAUCUUCAGGACAGAAGUAGCAGUGAUGUAUGUAAUGGGGAUGUGCCCCACAAAAGAGGCAGACACAGGCUCAACUUAAAGUUGAAUAUUGUUUUCCCUCUGUAUCCACACCCUGAAGUGGUUAGACACCUAGCAGUCUUGAUACUGUGGUGCCAGCUCCUUUCCGUGACCACACCUCUCCUCUCCACACCUAACUCACCCCCAUUUCGAGGAUUAGACAAGAGAAUCUAUGCUGACUGCCUUCUUAGUGUAGCAUAGCGUCCAUUCUGCUCAUUGCAGCCUAUAAAAAACUGCUUCCUUCACUCACAAUGGCAAGAUGAAGGGCUGGGAUUUCUUUAGGCCUUCCAAAUUAAUCCUUUCUCUACAAGGCUCAUAGACUCAAUCCUUUUCCUUGGGACCCGAACUUAACCACAUUUUCCAGAUUCCAAACAUUGGGAUAAUUGCCUGGCCAACUGUUCCUAAGCUAGUCAGUCCAUAUGGAGGGAUAUUUUCUUUUUGGAAAGCCCUAGAAGUUCACUCAACAUGAAGCUUUGAGAUCCCCUCAGCCAAUAAAGAGAGCUGGGCAGAUUUCCUGAGCUGAAAUGGAGUACAAUACCAGCUAAACCAAAGGGGCCUGUGUAGAAAUGGGCAUUCUCAUGCCUAUCACUGAUAAAUAUUAAGGCUAGGCAUGGUGACUCAUACCUGCAAUCCUAAUACUUGGGGAGGCUGCAUGAGGAUUGCUUGAGAUCAAAAGUUCAAGAACAGUCUGAGCAACAUAGCAAGACCCAUCUCUACAAAAAAAAAAAGGUAAAUCCGCUGGGUGUGGUGGCACACAUCUGUACUUCAACAUACUAGAGAGGCUGAGGCAGGAGGAUGCUAGAGCCCAGAAAUUUGAGUUUGAGCUGUAAUAAUGCCACUAUGCUAUAGCCUGAGUGACAGAGCAAGGUCCUGUCUCAGAAGAAAAAAAAAAUUUUCAAACCACUUAGGAUUUUUUGUUAGCCAUAGCUUGACAGCUGUUCCUCCUUGACUUAAACUGUAUGUCAUAUAUACAGUCAUAAUUUCUUAGGCCAGGCACAGUGACUCAUGCCUAUAGUCCUAGCACUUUGGGAGGCUGAAGCAGGAGGAUCCCUUGAGCUCAGAAGUUUGAGACCAGCCUGAGCAAGACCCCCGUCUCUAC
Molecule: RNA transcript, 4374 nt
Organism: Nycticebus coucang (slow loris)
Lineage: Eukaryota; Metazoa; Chordata; Mammalia; Primates; Lorisidae
Gene name: adenylyl cyclase-associated protein 1-like
Exons: 2
Source: RefSeq, a predicted model, not a curated record